UGGGGAAUAUUGCACAAUGGGCGCAAGCCUGAUGCAGCCAUGCCGCGUGUGUGAAGAAGGCCUUCGGGUUGUAAAGCACUUUCAGCGAGGAGGAAGGCAGUCGUGUUAAUAGCACGAUUGAUUGACGUUACUCGCAGAAGAAGCACCGGCUAACUCCGUGCCAGCAGCCGCGGUAAUACGGAGGGUGCAAGCGUUAAUCGGAAUUACUGGGCGUAAAGCGCACGCAGGCGGUUUGUUAAGUCAGAUGUGAAAUCCCCGCGCUUAACGUGGGAACUGCAUUUGAAACUGGCAAGCUAGAGUCUUGUAGAGGGGGGUAGAAUUCCAGGUGUAGCGGUGAAAUGCGUAGAGAUCUGGAGGAAUACCGGUGGCGAAGGCGGCCCCCCUGGACAAAGACUGACGCUCAGGUGCGAA
RNAcentral lists this ribosomal RNA (411 nucleotides) under uncultured bacterium. Its description in RNAcentral is "partial 16S ribosomal RNA". It matches the Rfam family "Bacterial small subunit ribosomal RNA", at positions 355 to 757 of the family's 1533-position model. The record is from RNAcentral.